GGGUCAGUAGGUUGGUCGUGCCACCGGUACGUACUGGUCUCACUGGUUCCUGCUUCCUGAAGAACCGUAAUGCCAUUAAUUUGGUGUUGCGGGGAAACAGGACUGGUACUUUUAAAAAAUUAGAGUGUUUAAAGCAAGCUAACGCUUGAAUACAUUAGCAUGGAAUAAUGAAAUAGGACGAUCGAUCCUAUUUUGUUGGUUUCUAGGAUUGACGUA
Molecule: ribosomal RNA, 216 nt
Filed under: Glomeromycotina sp.
Lineage: Eukaryota; Fungi; Glomeromycota
Description: partial small subunit ribosomal RNA
Rfam family: Eukaryotic small subunit ribosomal RNA (bases 47-216)
Source: RNAcentral